Molecule: ribosomal RNA, 564 nt
Filed under: uncultured Sphingomonas sp.
Lineage: Bacteria; Pseudomonadati; Pseudomonadota; Alphaproteobacteria; Sphingomonadales; Sphingomonadaceae
Description: bacterial SSU rRNA
Rfam family: Bacterial small subunit ribosomal RNA
Source: RNAcentral
ACUCCUACGGGAGGCAGCAGUGGGGAAUAUUGGACAAUGGGCGAAAGCCUGAUCCAGCAAUGCCGCGUGAGUGAUGAAGGCCUUAGGGUUGUAAAGCUCUUUUACCCGGGAUGAUAAUGACAGUACCGGGAGAAUAAGCUCCGGCUAACUCCGUGSCAGCAGCCGCGGUAAUACGGAGGGAGCUAGCGUUAUUCGGAAUUACUGGGCGUAAAGCGCACGUAGGCGGCUUUGUAAGUAAGAGGUGAAAGCCCAGAGCUCAACUCUGGAACUGCCUUUUAGACUGCAUCGCUUGAAUCAUGGAGAGGUCAGUGGAAUUCCGAGUGUAGAGGUGAAAUUCGUAGAUAUUCGGAAGAACACCAGUGGCGAAGGCGGCUGACUGGACAUGUAUUGACGCUGAGGUGCGAAAGCGUGGGGAGCAAACAGGAUUAGAUACCCCGGUAGUCCACGCCGUAAACGAUGAUAACUAGCUGUCCGGGGACUUGGUCUUUGGGUGGCGCGGCUAACGCAUUAAGUUAUCCGCCUGGGGAGUACGGCCGCAAGGUUAAAACUCAAAGGAAUUGACGG